UGAGGAAUAUUGGUCAAUGGGCGGAAGCCUGAACCAGCCAAGUAGCGUGAGGGAAGACUGCCCUACGGGUUGUAAACCUCUUUUGUUUGGGAAUAAAGUGCGGGACGCGUCCCGCAUUGCAUGUACCAUUUGAAUAAGGACCGGCUAAUUCCGUGCCAGCAGCCGCGGUAAUACGGAAGGUCCGGGCGUUAUCCGGAUUUAUUGGGUUUAAAGGGAGCGCAGGCCGUGGGUUAAGCGUGUCGUGAAAUUCCGUCGCUCAACGGCGGACGUGCGGCGCGAACUGGUCCACUUGAGUACGCGGGACGUUGGCGGAAUUCGUGGUGUAGCGGUGAAAUGCUUAGAUAUCACGAAGAACUCCGAUUGCGAAGGCAGCUGACGGUAGCGCAACUGACGCUGAGGCUCGAAAGUGCGGGUAUCGAACAGG
Molecule: ribosomal RNA, 424 nt
Filed under: uncultured Prevotella sp.
Lineage: Bacteria; Pseudomonadati; Bacteroidota; Bacteroidia; Bacteroidales; Prevotellaceae
Description: bacterial SSU rRNA
Rfam family: Bacterial small subunit ribosomal RNA
Source: RNAcentral